ACCUCGCCCACCUGUCGCUUGUCUCUCAAGCUUCGUGUCCCCCGCGACCUUAUCCCCUCACUCUCUGACCUGCUGCGCUGAUCCGUCGGUGGAGGAGGGGGGCAUUGGCUUGCUGGUUAAGGGGAGAAGGGGCGGCGGAGCAGACAGGAGGAGCCGGAGAUGGGGCUGAUCUCAGGGAUGGUGAUGGGGGCGCUGGUCGGGAUCGCCCUCGUCGCCGGGUGGAGCCGCAUGACUCGGUACCGCAGCACCAAGCGCAUUACCAAGGCUGCUGAUAUAAAACUGCUAGGGUCUCUUAAUAGAGAUGACCUGAAGAAAAUCUGUGGUGACAACUUUCCCGAGUGGAUAUCUUUUCCUGCAUUUGAACAGGUGAAAUGGUUAAACAAGCUAUUGAGCAAACUAUGGCCUUUUGUUGCAGAAGCAGCAUCAGCG
RNAcentral lists this unclassified non-coding RNA (429 nucleotides) under Hevea brasiliensis (rubber tree). The record is from RNAcentral. Lineage: Eukaryota; Viridiplantae; Streptophyta; Magnoliopsida; Malpighiales; Euphorbiaceae.